UCAUUAUUUACUGUGUUAUUACCUGUAGAGAUAUAACAUACAUAUUAUUUAUUUUAGGUGAAAGAGCUUAUGAUCCUAAGCACUUCCAUAUUAGGGUCAGUAGAAUCAUGAUUGAUGAUCAUUAUGUCCCCACUCUACAGUAAGUUUUAUGCUAAGUUGACUAUCAGAAGAGGGCUAAAUAUAUUGGGCUUGGUUUUCUGAAAAUAUUUUAAUUUAACUAAAAAUAUUAAACUUGAAAUCAGUAAGAUGGUGGUAUUCUCCAAGGAAGUAAAUGAGUGGAUGACUCAAGAUCCUGAAAACAUCAUAGUGAUUCACUGUAAAGGAGGCAAAGUCUUAUAAAAUCUGCUUUAGGAGACAGAACUGGGCUUGAAGCCUUGUCUUUCAAAGACAAAAUCCAUGCAAGACCAAGUGUUGGAGCAGGCGAUGGAUAUGAUCUAAAAGUCAAAAUAGUGAUGGAGAAAAAGGUUGUCUUUUCCUGUACUUACUUAAGAAAUUGUUAGGUAUUUCAUGACACUGAAACAGAGCAAUAAUUGAUGUAUUCAACAGUCCACCUCUGUAUGAUGAUGUGAAAGUGCAAUUUUUCUCUUUGGUGAGUAAUCAAGAAACAGCCUCUGCCAUUGUUCUUGUCUGGUCUUUUGAAUGAUUUUAUUUAAGAUUUGCUUUACUACACUUCCCAACAAGGGAGAUGACAGAUGUCAUCCCACAGAGGGAGGGUGAGAAAAACAAUAAAUCAGAUUUAUAACAGA
RNAcentral lists this long non-coding RNA (746 nucleotides) under Homo sapiens (human). Its description in RNAcentral is "non-protein coding lnc-ELF1-2:9". Lineage: Eukaryota; Metazoa; Chordata; Mammalia; Primates; Hominidae. The record is from RNAcentral.